Molecule: long non-coding RNA, 7040 nt
Filed under: Eutrema salsugineum
Lineage: Eukaryota; Viridiplantae; Streptophyta; Magnoliopsida; Brassicales; Brassicaceae
Description: long non-coding RNA (ESAL_LNC000846)
Source: RNAcentral
GCCCAACAACCUCGAGUUGCCACCGGAUACUAUGUACGGCGGACAUAAUUGGACAGUGUCCGAACGUGUUAAGAGCACCAGGUGGUUGCAACAACCCGUGCACCGUUUUUCAGACGAACCAGUACUGUUGUACGAAUGGGCAAGGAUCAUGUAGCGACACAGAAUAUUCAAGGUUCUUCAAACAGAGGUGUCCGGAUGCCUACAGUUAUCCACAAGACGACCCGCCCAGCACUUUCACUUGCACUAACACUAACUACAGGGUCGUGUUUUGUCCUAGGAUUAGACUCGAUACUACUGGGAGCAUAUAUAUAUUAAGAGACUCGUCUCUAUUGUAUGUGAUGUGUGUAUGAGCGUGUACUAGUGUGUACGUAGUAACGUAGAUAUAUAUGCGUACGCGUGUGAUAAUGUUUACGUGACUAUCAAACUUGAUGGAUAAUAAUGAAUGCAAGAAUAAGUUGGACUUUUGCUAACGGUUAAUUAGGGAUAAAACUCUCAGUUUGAUUAGGAUUUUAAAUGGCAGUAGCUUUUAGUUUUUGUUGUAGGAUUUUAAAUAUUAAAACUCGAGUAAUAGAGAUGUUUUUUGGUGUAGAGAGUAAAAAUUUGAUUGAUCAAACUAGCAUAACAUUAGCAAAAAACGUUAAAUCAAUAAGAAAUUAUUUUUUUUUCCAGAUUUUUUUGUUUGGUGUAGAGAUAGUAAAGAAUAGAUAGAACAAGCUAGCAAAAUAUUAGCGAAAAAUGCUCUAAAGAUAAGACAAACUUCUUUUUAAUUUCUUACUAUGUUUCUCGAAGUUAAUAUGAAGUUGUUUUUCCAAUCCUCUUUUUCCGAAAUGAAAUCUUUACAAUUUUUGUCUUUUUGGGUAGAGAUUGUUAAGAUAUCAGCAAAAUGAAGUUAAAAAGAAGAAUUUUCGGAUUACCAAUAAUAGCUUUUGUUUGAGAUUUAAAGAUAACAUCUCAAUUUUUGUUAGGUAGAAUUUGCAUGGAAGCCUAAUGAGCUCAUUAAUUAGGUGUGCUCUCUCCCUUGUCGUGAAUGUGAAUAUGUGAUUGGUGUCAGAUUGCGAGUAGAUUCAAUUCGUGCGAAGGUAUACGAAAAUAUACAUAGAUAAAAAAAUCCCUACUUUAAUAAUGGAGUUGAUUGACUAAGGUAUACGAAAAUAUACAUAGUAAAAAAAAUCCCUACUUUAAUAAUGGAGUUGAUUGACUAAUAAUAGAUUCUUACUCGGUUCAAUUUUUUAUUGCGUGCGAAAAACUAUGUAGACCGAUUCGUGCAGCUAGGAGAAAAACCCGUUGAGUAAAACUAAUUAUUUUGGCGUCGUUAUCGCUGUAGAUUUGUAGAACCUUAGACGUCUUUGACUUGAGUUUAACUUUUUUGAUAUGCAUGAUUGCAUGGGUCUCCAAAUAAUCAAUCAAAAACUAGGCAUAUAAGCAUAAUUCCAUUAUAUAACAAACACAUUUUUAAAAAUCACAGAAGUACAGUUGUAUGGUAUAAACUUGAAUUUUUGAAAGCAUUUAUGAAAAAAAAAGAGAGAUAUAAAGCUGGAAAGUAGAAGAGCGUUUUCUCAUUCUUCAAAAACGUUAAUACAUUUCCAUAUAUACAUGUGCUAAACUGUUAAACCUAGUUAUACAAGAUAACUAAAUUUAUGCAUAAUUAAUAGCCCAAUAAAAUAUUGUAUGGCCCAAUAUUAUGAUACUCUACCCCUUUACAAGUUGGAGCAUGCAUGUAGAUUAAAUAUGUCCAACUUGCAUAGAAACCAAUCAAAUUCCUAGCCCAAUUAAUGUUUUGAGAAUAUAUCAGCUAAAUGAAGAAGAGAGGGAACAAUAAUUACCUAAUACACUUUUACUAUAUAAGAUCAUAUCACUGAAAGCUAUCAAGGAGACAAUACCACCAAUUUCCAAGUAAACAAACUGACAAGAACUGUAGUAUAGUUGAAGUAAGCGAGAAGUUCAUAUACCCGCUUCCAACCUGAAUGGAUAAUAUGUGAUUAUAUCACAUUUCAAUAAUCUAGAUUUAAAUUAUCUAUAAGAUUUUAAAAUGUAAAAUUGAUUUUUGGUCCAAUUUUAUUAUUCAUUGUUAUACUAAAUCUAAAACUUGAUCCAAGUCUAGAGUCUCUGUAAAAGCAUCCUAUAAUCUCAUCAUCCUUUUAGUUAAUGUGUUAUUCAUAUAUAGUUUUUCAUAGUUUGAAGGUGAAUUUUACUUUCUUUAGUUUCUUUUUUCUUAUAGAUAUUAUAGUAUUGGAAUAGUCCUAAGCAUAUUUUCAUUCUUUACGACAACAAAAUCAGGUAUUUCCAUGAUUAAACAAUUUCUGAAAAUAUGACUGAUUGAAAAAGACAUGCGCCAAAAUUUAGUUUAUGAUUAUUUGUAUUGAAAAUCAAAAUGAAAACAAAUUUUAAAAAACCAAAUUUGGAUCUAUGAAAUUAUUUGAAAAUACCAUGAAAUUUGUUUAAGGGAUAAAUUCCAAAUAUUCAUUCAUCCAACUUGUUAUUAAUGAACUCGGUUACCCAAAAAUUCCGAUGCACAUAUAAGAUGAAUCAUAGAUCGGAUACUUCGAAUAAUUAAGUAAGCAUAUCCCUAAAAUGUUAAGUAAGACAAAUUAACUAUAUCCUACUCUCAAAUAUUGGAAAAUUGGUACUCCUGGUCUCCGUAGCGAAUGCGAAUGAUGCUCAAUUGCUCAUCCAAAUUGAUAAAUUAAAAAAAUUGAAAUGCAACAAACGGUUGAUCGCAGUGCUAUUGUAAUUGGAGAUGGUCUUCAUUAGGUGCAUGAUGUGCCUUUGCUACACUAAUUCGAUUAUGGUCCAUGGCGAGAUAUUUUUGGAUGCUUUGACAACUUUGUGAAAAUUUGUCGUCUAUCAUUGUUUUGCUAUUUAUUUAAGUCAUUGCCUUUGUGAAGUCAAGUCUUCGUUUCUCAUUAAUCAUCAUGAGAUCCAUGAACCUAGCUUUUCCACUUGUUUGAAUCAGACAAAAGCUAAGCAAAAACAAGUUGGGUUAGGAUAAAAUAAGGGUUUUGUCUGGGAGACUUGUAAAGGGGAAGCAGUCCGACGUAGGAAGAAAUCCUCUGUCAUUUUAGGGUUUAGUCGAAGAAAAAUAACUAAAUAUAUAGUUUCCAAUGAUUGAAUUAUGUUUUUAAUGGCAUUUUUGUAGUUUAAAAAAGACUAGGCUUUGUUCAGAGUUUUUCUACUGGGGUUUUAAAUAAGAUUGUUUCAAAUUCUAUGUGAAUACCCUCAGAUGCAAUAGAUUAUAAACCUAUUAACAAUUUUAGCAAUAGAUUUUCUUUUUUCUUAAGGUCAACUUGGUAAGUCAAUACAGAGAAAAAAGAAAAGAAAUGAGACAAAUAUGGAAAUGAGGAGUAAGGAAAAUAGAAAAAUUCAUUAAAAAAAAAUUAGAAGUCUAAAACAUGAAAAAGUACCAUCGAGUCUAAUUAUAUGGGAUAUUUGAUCAAGUCUAAACCACUAGAUUACACUAAUUUGAAAAAUCUUAGGUAAACCAUUUAUUAACUCCAAUUUUAUUUUUCUGGUACCACAAACAAUUACAUCCUCAAAACUGUAUGAAAUUCGAUUACUUGUUUGCCAAGAAUAUAUAUUAAAAAGUAGACAUGUAAUAAAGAUUUUGGUCACCCAACUUGGAGGCAAAAGCCUACCAGUAAGUUGUAACAGUUAAGGAGUUAUGUAUUGGUUAAUUUGUUACUUUUUAAUUAAUAUUUUGCAUUUUUGAAGUUACGUAAUAAUAAAUGCUAUUUCGCUUUUUUCAUUAAAAAAAACAAUGGAUGGGACGACAGGCGACUUGACUAUGUUACUAACGGAAAGUCUUGUUUCUAGAUAUGUACUAUGUAGACAUUAUAAUGUUAACGUAAGAAAAAAUUAAGUACGUAUAGGGGGACUUAAGAAGAAUAUAGAAAUGUGUGUACAUUUUUUCCUUUUCUGCUAACAAAGAAGUUACAUAUCUAUACAUAAGCUUCAUUAUUGUGAAAGCUUUUUUGGCCUAAUGGAGUUUAUUAAUGUUUUUAAGUUUCCAAACUAAAUAAAUAUGAUUUAUUAUCAGUUCUGCAGAUUAAUGGAGAAAAACGUAUGAAAAAACUUCAAUAUGGUGUAAGUGGAACUAUUUAGCGUAGAGGUUCAUAAUCAUCAGUAUAGCAAUUCUCGUUAUAAUAAUAAGAUAAUAAUUUAAUGAUAAAAAAGCUCUUAUUAUUUUAUUUUAUUUUUAUUUUUAGUACAACUCCUAUUAUUUUUUGUUUGGGAUCAGCCUCUAAUAGUACUCUUUGGAGGUAAAUCAUCAUUUACAAAACAGAUCGAACUUAAUAGGGAAACAAAGUUGAAAUUUCUUUGGAAGGACGAAUUUACUGCCACUAGCCGACUUCCUAGUUGGUGAAGACUAAAGACUAGGUGUGAACAUUUAAAGGCCCACAUUUAAAUGAAUUAUGUGAUAUAAUUUCAAAGACGACCCAAAGAAUUAUGCCUUUCAAGUUUCAACUAUUACUUAGCAAAUAUACAAAUGAUGUACAACUUGAAUGUCCACAUCCAUUUAGGCAGACGUCAGUACGAACAGAUUUUGUGGCAAUCCAGAUUUACCAAUAAAAAUAUCUCCAGUUCUUCAUAGUACAUAUCUAGAAACAAGACUUUUCGUUAGUAACAUAGUCAAGUCGCCCCAUCCAUUCUUUAACCAAAAAAAGUCGCCCCAUCUAUCAUUUUAUAUUUAUAAAAAUGAUUAAAGCAAAAUAACAUUUAUUAUCAUAUAACUUCAAUCAUUCAAACUACUAAUAAAAAAAUAAAACAAACUUACCAAUACAUAACUCAUAAAAAGGAACCGUUUUUUUCUCCUAACAAACAUAUUGUUUUUUUUACAAAAAAACCUUUUUUAAAAAAGAUUUAGAACUGUCUCUUUUUCGGUUGAUUAAAUCAUCUGAAAAUUUACUAUUUGCAAUAAAAGUGAGGGAAAAAGAAUUCUAUUCACUUUGUUGAAGGAAAAUAAUCCUCUACUAGAUCAUAUUCUUGUAAUUAAUUGUAGAGGAACAUGUGGAGUAAAGAAAAUCGUCUCGUAGAAGUACUAGAACUAUCAUAAACAUUUAAAAAUAUAAUGGACUCUGACAUUCGUUUACAGAAUGGAAAACUUUGGUCAUAAAAUAGCCUUUAAUUAUUAAACACUGAUUACGUGGAUUAAAUAACGGUAAAUAACUAAAAAAAGAAAGAAAAAAAGAGGAGGGACUUAAAGAAAAAUGAGUGUAGUCACUAGUCAGAAAGAAAUUAUACUUCAGUCAUUUGAUGAUAUAUCUAGUAAAUAUAAUCAAAUUAUGUAAAUUUUAAUAGGGUGGUACGCCAGGACCGCCAUUGGCUACCUCUAUAUAAAGCUAUAGUGUAUGUUUACAAAAGAUCACACACACAAGUAGUAAAACAAAACAAAAAAUGGCAAACAUUAUCUCACUCUCGGCGUUCAUCAUCUCCAUCUUUUUCCUCAUCUCCACCGCUAAAGCCGUCAGAUUCGACAUCCUGAACCAAUGUGGUUACACCGUUUGGGCCGCCGCCAGCCCUGGAGGUGGCCGGCGUCUAGAUCCUGGCCAGUCAUGGCCACUAGAUGUUGCGGCUGGCACACGUAUGGCACGUAUUUGGGGUCGGACAAAAUGUAAUUUUGACUCUUCGGGACGUGGCCGAUGCGAAACCGGUGAUUGCACUGGUGGACUUCAAUGCACCGGUUGGGGCCAGCCACCAAACACGUUGGCUGAGUACGCUUUGAACCAAUUUAACAACAUGGACUUCUACGACAUCUCACUUGUUGAUGGAUUUAACAUCCCUAUGGAAUUUAGGUAAGAAUAUUAUCAUAAAUUUUUCAUAAUUUGUUUUACAAUUUUUUCUUUUAAGUUAAGCUGUUAUAAAUUCGAAUUUUACCUGACGAACAUUCUUUAAACGUAAACGUAAAAAUCUGAAUACCGAGACUUUAGCCUAAAUAUCCCCAUGGAAGUUUAAGUCGCAAGAUCUCAAAAUUUUAAAAAAUCGACGCGGCCAAGGGGAAAAGUCAGGACGCUUAGAAGUAACAAGAUUUUUUUUUUUUCCUUGUUUAAGUUUGAAGUGAAGUUCAAUUAUAAUUUUCACUGUUUCUAAUUUAACGAUUAAACAGUAAAUGUGUACGAGAAGAUAAAAAGAUCUUCAAAAUAACUAAAAAUGUAAAAAAAAACUAUAAAGAAAUUUGGUAAAUAGAAAAAAAAAUAGUAAAAAAACUUAAAGAAAAUAUUACAUAGUCAUUUUUAUUUCUUUAUUUUUGAAUUUAGUUCUUGCGAUAAUAAUUUGCCUUUCUUUUUAUCAAUCUUCGCUCAACCAGCUCGAAUUGCAAGCGGAUACUAUGUAACGCGGACAUAAACGGACAGUGUCCAAACGAGUUGAGAGCCACAGGAGGUUGCAACAACCCCUGCACAGUGUUCAAGACGAACCAAUACUGUUGUACGAACGGGCAGGGAUCAUGUGGCGCCACUGAGUUCUCAAGGUUCUUCAAACAGAGGUGUCCAGACGCCUACAGCUAUCCACAAGACGACCCGUCCAGCACUUUCACUUGCACUAACACUAACUACCGGGUCGUGUUUUGUCCUAGAUAGGUGCUAGGGCCUAGACUAUCUCAACACCAGUGUGUACGUAGGUAUGCACGUACGUGUAACGUGUGUAUUAAAUAAUUGAGAGACUAUCAACGCGUAAUGGAUAAUAAUGAAGGCAAUAAUAAUUACGUAUGUAUCCUUUAUACAGAAAAAAGAAGAAAGAAUAAUAACAAUUACGUAUAAGUUGAAUUCGUUUCUGUAUUUCCAUUUCUUCCGGUACACAUGUUAAAAUAUCUCUUCAUCUCUAUUGUCUGUUUGUGUGUAUGUGUGUCUACGUGUGUGAUCAUAUUUACGUGACUAUUAAGUUUCAACGCGUAUAAUAACGAACGCUAUAUUUGUUUUCUUUUCUUUUUUUCAGAAAGGGUUUAAAGGCAAUAAUGUUUACGUAUAAGUUGAACUCGUUUCUCUUCUUUCCGGUCAAAAAAAUUAUAAAGAAGAAAAAUCUCGGUAUAACUAGAAUUUGAAUAUAUA